GUGAAAUGACUUCCUUCACCAUUGCAAAUCAGUGCUACUCUUUGUUCACUUUGUGGUCUUAGAGUGUUCUUUGGGACACUGAGAUGUGAAGUCAUCUAUCUGCCCAGGGUGGAACAACCAGGAUGAAAGGGGAUGGGGACCAAGGUCAUCUCAACACCGAGACUGCCUCAUAGGUUGUUAUUAUGGAUCAGGGCCUAGCAUCACACAAGGAACAUAGAAGUACAUGGCUGCAAUAUAAUAAAUUCUUCUUGGUUGAACUCUAAGGCUCUGUCCUCAGAGUCAAUGUUUCUUCCAGUGUUCUAAUGGGUGGGAUUAGGGAUUAGGUAAGGAGGAAUGGGAUGCCUUCAGAUCCAAGAAAAUUAUAGAAAUGUAGCAGCUGUCCUGGGUGCUCAAAAGAAUGUGGACACCACUGUCAGGAAAUUUGAAGGUCUUCUAUGUUUACUCUUCCUGGAGCAAUAAAUUACCACAGGGAGCUGAAGGGGUUCUGGAGAACAAAAACCAGAAUGGUGGAAUUGGAAGGGCCUUUAAGACACAGAAUGUCAGAGCUGGGACAGAUCUUAGAACAUAGAACAUCAGAGCCGAGAAGUUCCUUAGAAGAUAGAACAUCAGAGACGAGAAAACUGAGGCUCAAAUAGGGGAGGUAUUACCAAAUACCACAGGACUGGUAAGUGACAGAGCUUGGAUUCAAACUCAGGCCUCUUGAUCCCCCCCCCCCUCGGCAGACUCCUU
RNAcentral lists this long non-coding RNA (729 nucleotides) under Phascolarctos cinereus (koala). Its description in RNAcentral is "lncRNA (ENSPCIG00000035062.1)". Lineage: Eukaryota; Metazoa; Chordata; Mammalia; Diprotodontia; Phascolarctidae. The record is from RNAcentral.